Molecule: long non-coding RNA, 2962 nt
Filed under: Lytechinus variegatus (green sea urchin)
Lineage: Eukaryota; Metazoa; Echinodermata; Echinoidea; Temnopleuroida; Toxopneustidae
Description: uncharacterized LOC121429869
Source: RNAcentral
UCUUACAGAUUAGAUGAAAGGUAAUUUAAUGAAGUAGGUGUUCCGAUGAUAUCCAAACACUAGUGUAAAUAUUAAAAAAAUGUAAAAUGAAAAUGUCUUUCAAAUUUGCAUUUGGUCAUGCGUCAUGAGCUCGCCCCCCAAAAAGGGUGGUGCUGUUUCACAUUUUGGCUUUGUGCUAUAGUAUUUCUUACUUAUUUUCAAAACAUAGAGGCUAUUCCAACAAAUUUAGUAUCAUUUUAAAGCUGAAUUAAUAAGGCAAUAGCCUGGAAAGUUUCAUUGCUGUAGACUUUAUAGAACUUGAGUUAUAGCUCUCAAAAGUCAGGACACCAGAGGUGAUGAGGGGUGGUGCCGGAAGCGGCACUCCCGGAAGAGGCGCCGCCUGUACAAAGUCAAUGGGAAAACGCAAUUUUUGGGAAAACAUCAAUAUUUUUGUUAAAACUUGGCCUAAACCUACAAACCUGGUAUGAAAUUAAAGCUAACAUACUCUACUUUACUGUCCAAUGAUUGAAAAGUAGGUUUGGCCAUGUCAUAGACCUGUGUGAUAAGGUUGAAACAUAAAAAUCUGAUAAAUUUGCAAUGUCUUAAUUUUGACAUUUCUUCCAGAUUGACACAUAUUUGAAUGACAGUUAUUGUUUAGCACUAAACUUGCAUCAAUUACAAAAAAAAAACACUUCCUACAAUUCUGAGGGGAUGAAAAUACUGCUUAGUAUCAAGGUAAAUCCAAAUUAUUAACUGACAAAGGUCAAUGACCUUCAACUAUCCAGAAAAUGUGUUAUGAAUUUUAGAAGGUUUCGCAUUAUUUUCUUAAAAGUUUGUACAUCUUCACUGAUGUCUUAUUACACAUUCAUAUAUACAUAUUUCACUAAAUACACACACUGACAUUAUAAAAAAACAAUAAGUGUCUGUGUGAAAUGGUCAAAUUGACAUAACCUACCUCAAAUGCUAUCAUACCAAAGGACUGCAUACUAUAUUUUGGCUUUGAACUCAUCAAAACCCGCCAUGGCUUUAAACUAUCAAACACAGACUAUGUGGAUAUAAUGUGUGCAAUUGCACUUUAGAAACUUCUUUCAUGAAGCUGCAGUAGUCAUAUGAAUAUAUGUAUGUUUGUACAUAUAGCAUCGGCAAAAUUGUUUCAGUCUUUACUCCUGAACCUAUAGACAUUGUCUCUUGCAUGUCAUCAUCACUUGGCAGAUCAUUGUAAUAAGAGCCUCGGUAAGCAAACUGUGUAACUUACAUUUCAAUUGCUACUUUUCCUUUGAAUUGUUUAUGUACCUACAUGUACCAUCAAUUCCUUUUAAAAUGUUAAUAACUUAUAAAUUCUGAUGUACAAGGCAAAGAAAACCCAACAAAUGUUGGUAUUGCAAGCAUUAUAACACCUGAUAUAUAGUAUACGAUUCCUGAAACGCAUGAUUUUUUGGGGCUAAAGUCGGGGUCAAUUUUCAGAUCACUAAUUGAACAUGAACCCUACACAUUGAACAUGAACUCUACACAAUGAUAUAUGGUUAGAAAGGUCUGAAUGUGUUCUGUCAUAAUAUAGCAUUAUUUUUGUCAUAGGGGGACUACACAAAAUUUUAUGACAAAAAUCAUGAGAUUAAAAAAAAUAUCAGAAUUUCCCUAUUCAAGUCCAUGUAAAACUGUUGCCUUACACCUAAUGCUAUUUUUGAGUGCAGAUUUGGAUUCCUUGUACAAUUUACUUACAGAAAAUGUAUAUUUUUGCUAUCAUAGGGUGUAUACUUUGUCAGAUAAAUGUUUUUAAAGUUGAAAGUGCGUCGUAAAAGCAAAAAUCACCAUGUAACGCAAAAGAGGGCGACCUCAUGACACAUGACCAUUUUUAUUCUGCUUUGGAACACCACUCAAAAUUUACUGAAUAAACAAGAUAUUCUUGGAUUCAGUAUUCCUAAACAGAGCUCAUUGACAUAAUCAAACUAAAUCCUACAAGAUAAUCAUAUGCACAGGUAUAUUCAUAGAUAUAUAUGUAAUACCAAGGAUUGUCCAAAAACUGAGAUUACAGUCAUUCAAUUUUUCACUGAUAUUUAUUCGAUGAAAAACUAUAUUAUAAUGGUCACUAUGUGUUUGUUUGAUUUGAGUGUUAGAACAAUUGUGUAAUCAUUAGACAUUUGCUUUUCUUUUUUGGAAAUGAAACUUCAGUAUCACUCAAUUUUUCAAGCCAUGUGCCUGUCAUAAUGUUGCAAUAGUUGUAGUUCAUGUACACCUUACAAAGUAUUGUUUUGUAGUUGACAGUAUUGUUAUUCUUAGUAGUUUGUUACAUUCCAUCAAGCUUAUUGAUUGUAGAAAUAGUGAUGCUAUUCAUGAUUUGAAGUGCCAUGGUUGAAAUGAAAUGAAAGAAAUGAAAAAGUGUCUUGAUUAUAUUUAUUAUAAACUAUAUCUGCAGUUUAUUAUGUAAGCACGUGCAUGCAGGGCCAAAUGAUGAACAAUUUGUGAAAAGAGCCAAUGGAUAUACCACACCAAGGCCCGCAGGACUGAGUGCGGUAUAUCUGUUUCGCGAGUCGAGCAGAGUUCAUUAUUUAGGUCUUCUGUGCAAAAGAAUAGGUGCAUUGUCUGUUUUAUACACCCCCCCAUGUUACUGAGUUGCCCGGAAUCUCAGAGUGCAGGAUAGUGCAUUUUCGAUGCAAUAGUGCAAUUCGCUGAAUAUCAUGUGAUCCGAUUUGGACCAAUCAGAAAACAGAACAUUCUUGGGAGUUGUAUAACAUUUACUACAGUAAUUUUAUUGAUAGAAUAAAAGACUAUUGAUAGCACCACAUGUUGUAUUUUCCAUGUGACUAGUUUAUGUGAAGUAAACAUAGAUUAGAAUAAGUAAAUAUGCCUCUUUUUAAGUCCAGAACGAAGAAAAACGUACAAAAUCAUUAUCUUUUUACUUUACCAAACUUUUAUUUCUCCCUUGAUAUUUCAUGGCCUCUCCUUGAUGCAGUUAUCAUGAGGGAAAUAUAUUUACCAUACAACU